GGGAAUGUAGCUUAGUGGUAGAGUGCUUGCCUAGCACGCAUGAAGUCCUGGGUUCAAUACCUCAGUACCA
RNAcentral lists this transfer RNA (70 nucleotides) under Dipodomys ordii (Ord's kangaroo rat). It matches the Rfam family "tRNA". From Rfam's summary of the family: Transfer RNA (tRNA) molecules are approximately 80 nucleotides in length. Their secondary structure includes four short double-helical elements and three loops (D, anti-codon, and T loops). Lineage: Eukaryota; Metazoa; Chordata; Mammalia; Rodentia; Heteromyidae. The record is from Rfam by way of RNAcentral.